UCAUAUGCUUGUCUCAAAGAUUAAGCCAUGCAUGUCUAAGUUACACUGUACUCACGGUGAAACCGCGAAUGGCUCAUUAAAUCAGUCGAUGUUUACUAGAUGAAAACUAUCCUACUUGGAUAACUGUGGCAAUUCUAGAGCUAAUACAUGCUUACCAAGCUCCGACCCUCGCGGAAAGAGCGCUUUUAUUAGUUCAAAACCAAUCGUCGUACCCUUCGCGGGGUGCGGCGUCCCGAUUGGUGACUCUGGAUAACUUUGUGCUGAUCGCAUGGCCUUUGUGCUGGCGACGCAUCUUUCAAAUGUCUGCCCUAUCAAAUGUCGAUGGUACGUGAUAUGCCUACCAUGUUUGUAACGGGUAACGGGGAAUCAGGGUUCGAUUCCGGAGAGGGAGCAUGAGAAGU
This 401-nucleotide ribosomal RNA is filed under the name Planorbarius corneus. RNAcentral describes it as "SSU rRNA". It matches the Rfam family "Eukaryotic small subunit ribosomal RNA", at positions 24 to 404 of the family's 1831-position model. Lineage: Eukaryota; Metazoa; Mollusca; Gastropoda; Planorbidae. The record is from RNAcentral.